UGGAGGCGUUAUCGAAACUACAUAAAGGAAAAAUACUUUGAUCCAUUUGUUGAUGAUGAAUCAACUGAAAGGAUGUAUGCUAGUCUUCCUCCAUACAUUGAUCGAUUCACUUUCGAAAAGUUUGUGGAAGAAUUAUGGACUACAGAAAAAUUUAAGGUAUUGUUUUUUAUACAUCCAUACUUCAAUAAUUUACUAUUUUAUAUUGUAAGUUGUUUAACAUUAUAUAUGAAUUCGCAGAGAAAAUCCAAAAUAAACAAAACAAACCGGAGUAAGAAGAUACUAAUCCAUAAAACAGGGUCAAUUCCUUUCAGUGCAAUAAGAGAAAAUCUGCAAAGCGAAGGCAUUGAGGCAUCACGAAUCAAUGUAUUGAUUCGUUCUUUUGGUACUGACAACGAAGUCGUUGUAAGUCUUAGUUUAUUUUAUAAUGUUCAUAAAUAGUAGUUUAUUGAUCUACUCAUAGCUUAUUACUUAUUUUAUAGAGAAACUUGUCUGAAUAUUACAAAAGUGAUGAAAUUCAAGAAUUACGUCCAACAACGGAUGAAGAUGUAUGUUUUAAAUUAUUUUACUAUUUCAAAUUAUUCAAAUGUUUUAUUUUCUUAUAUAUUAUUUUUCGCACGUAGGUGAUUCAACAAAAAUGCAUUUCUAAGUUUAUUCAAAGCAAAAAAGGGAGGAAC
RNAcentral lists this long non-coding RNA (674 nucleotides) under Zostera marina. RNAcentral's name for it is "long non-coding RNA (ZMAR_LNC005392)". The record is from RNAcentral. Lineage: Eukaryota; Viridiplantae; Streptophyta; Magnoliopsida; Alismatales; Zosteraceae.